UCCCAUUCAUCACUAAAGUCAUAAAACAUGGAGAAAAAUGAAUAGCAAGUGAAGAGGACAAAAUUUUGUCAAGUUAAAUUGCUGAGUUCUUUGCUGAAUAUGAAAAGUGAAUGAUAAGUUUCAGCAAUUAUAUUGUGUAAAAUGGGGAAUCAACCGUAACGUACACUGAAAAACUUGAAAAGUAGGAAUUGUGUGAAGCAUCCUGCAACUGCCUUUUUCCUUCUUUCUCCUUGACUUUGUUCCUCGGGUCACACUAGGACUCAAUAACCCUUAAUAUUUACCCUUUUUUUUUUUCCUAGAUAUUCAUUUUCCAAUUAUCAUAUUUAAUUCAAAUUAUGCUGCAUAAUUUAAAGAAAGCUGAAAAAGCUAUUUUCUCUUGUUCAAGAAAAAGAAAAGAAAAAUCGUAGCUCAUGUUCAUACUCUGCAACCUGCAAAUUACAAUUAGCUGCGGCCUCUAGCUAGGAAAAUGCAUACCGAAUCUCGAAUGAACUAUACAAUAGAGAAAUAGGAAAAUCCUAGCUAUAAUUGUUUUGUGGGUUUUCGCCUUUGUCAAGGCAAGAACCCACCGGCACCGCCAAUAUUAUGCCUUUGAUCGUUGUUAUUAUUAUAGUUAACGUUACAAUUAUCUACCCUGGAUUUGGAAUCUGCCUCCGCCGCACCUCCACCGCUCGAGGUAGAUAUAGCAGGAGGAAACUGGCCGCAUUUCUGACACCUUGCCAACCCCAGGAUCUGACGGCAGGAAGGACACGACGAAUGGGACCCUAGCCACGUGUCGAUACACCCAAUAUGGAACCCAUGCCCACACUGUGGUAAAAUCCUGAUCUCAUCUUCCUCUCCAAACUCACCUAAGCAGAUUGCGCACUCCGUCGAUGCAAACUUACAAGAACCAGCAGCCGCGACGGCGCCGUACGUGAAUUUGGGGAGUGACUGAAUGAUCUUCUUCUUCAACCCCUUAUUGGCGGCGGCCUGCGACGGAGAACGAGAAGCACUGCCACCACUGCGACGGAGCCAAGCACAACGAGCCACAGCAAUGAGUCCCACAACGCAUAUCAAUGCGCAUAAAAGAGCUGCGAGUAUGACAACGAAGUCUGACUCAACAUUGACGGCCUCCGGUGGGUCAGCGGCCAGGGAAGAGUCGAAGCCAGUGAGCAUUCUUGCAUAGCGAGUCAUGGCAAAUGGUUGGAUAGCAUAAAUUGGGAGAAUUUAGCAAAGAAAGAGAGAAAAGGAGAGGAGAGAGUAGGAGAAAAAGUGGGUAAUUGGAGUCUGCGGAGGUUCUUGAAGUGGGUAUAUAUAAUAGAGAAAUGAAGAUUUAUGGAAGGUUUGGUAGGCAGUUCCAGGAUAGUUGAUGGGUUAAAAAAGUAUCAAUAGGAAAUGAGAGAGAAGAUGGUGACAAGGAAAGAAAGGCAGCAAAGUAGCAUGUACUGAUAGGAGACAGGUUCCUCUCCUCUUUAUCAUGGAUAAACAUAAAGGGACCACUCACUCUCUCUUCUUUGUUUACAAGUUGGGCCAUUUUGUCAUUUUUCACUUUCACCAUUUCCAUUUUCACAUUCUAUUUCUUACUAUUUGAUCAUUGGGAUUGGGUGACCA
Molecule: unclassified non-coding RNA, 1587 nt
Filed under: Hevea brasiliensis (rubber tree)
Lineage: Eukaryota; Viridiplantae; Streptophyta; Magnoliopsida; Malpighiales; Euphorbiaceae
Source: RNAcentral